Sinocyclocheilus rhinocerous is the source of this 244-nucleotide long non-coding RNA. RefSeq lists it as uncharacterized. Lineage: Eukaryota; Metazoa; Chordata; Actinopteri; Cypriniformes; Cyprinidae. The record is from RefSeq and is a predicted model, not a curated record. The transcript has 3 exons.
AUAGAAUGGCAACUUGCAAGAUCCUAUUUUUUAUCCUUCUGCACUGUGUAUCUUGUGGGAAAUGUGAUUUGUUUUAUAAGCAAGUCGGUGAUGAGGUUUCCAUGAAUUGUGGAUUAAAUACAAACAGUGAUAUAGAAUGGAAAUUUAACGACAUUCUCAUCUUUAACAUCAAAAGCAAAAGUGGAACUAAACUGAAGGGUUCUUUCCAUAUUGCAUCAAAAGCAAGUACAAACGGAGAAAAUUU